Molecule: ribosomal RNA, 160 nt
Filed under: Lidbeckia pectinata
Lineage: Eukaryota; Viridiplantae; Streptophyta; Magnoliopsida; Asterales; Asteraceae
Description: 5.8S ribosomal RNA
Rfam family: 5.8S ribosomal RNA
About the family: 5.8S ribosomal RNA (5.8S rRNA) is a component of the large subunit of the eukaryotic ribosome. It is transcribed by RNA polymerase I as part of the 45S precursor that also contains 18S and 28S rRNA. Functionally, it is thought that 5.8S rRNA may be involved in ribosome translocation.
Source: RNAcentral
CGACUCUCGGCAACGGAUAUCUCGGCUCACGCAUCGAUGAAGAACGUAGCAAAAUGCGAUACUUGGUGUGAAUUGCAGAAUCCCGUGAACCAUCGAGUUUUUGAACGCAAGUUGCGCCCGAAACCAUUUGGUCGAGGGCACGUCUGCCUGGGUGUCAUAC